AGGGGAAUAGCUGGGUCAAAUGGUGAUUCCAUUCCCAGCUUUCCAAUAAAUCUCCAUACUACUUUCCAAAUUGGCUGCACCAAUUUGCACUCCCACCAGCAAU
This 103-nucleotide microRNA precursor is filed under the name Marmota monax (woodchuck). The record is from RNAcentral. Lineage: Eukaryota; Metazoa; Chordata; Mammalia; Rodentia; Sciuridae.